This 328-nucleotide ribosomal RNA is filed under the name uncultured eukaryote. Its description in RNAcentral is "partial 18S ribosomal RNA". It matches the Rfam family "Eukaryotic small subunit ribosomal RNA", at positions 1470 to 1796 of the family's 1831-position model. The record is from RNAcentral.
CCCUUAGAUGUCCGGGGCUGCACGCGCGCUACACUGAAGGAAUCAGCGUGCUAAAACCAUUGUCGAAAGGCAUUGGUAAACCCAUUAAAAUCCUACGUGAUUGGGAUCGGGAAUUGCAAUUAUUUCCCUUGAACGAGGAAUUCCCAGUAAGUGUGGGUCAUAAGCUCGCGUUGAUUACGUCCCUGCCCUUUGUACACACCGCCCGUCGCUGCCCGGGACUGAGCCGUUUCGAGAAAAGCGGGGACUGCUGCUGUCGGGGUUUUCGGGCCUUGGCUUCGGUGGAAACCGCUUUAAUCGCAGUGGCUUGAACCGGGCAAAAGUCGUAACA